UGGGGAAUUUUGGACAAUGGGCGCAAGCCUGAUCCAGCCAUGCCGCGUGCGGGAAGAAGGCCUUCGGGUUGUAAACCGCUUUUGUCAGGGAAGAAAUCUUCUGAGUUAAUACCUCGGGAGGAUGACGGUACCUGAAGAAUAAGCACCGGCUAACUACGUGCCAGCAGCCGCGGUAAUACGUAGGGUGCAAGCGUUAAUCGGAAUUACUGGGCGUAAAGCGUGCGCAGGCGGUUUUGUAAGACAGAGGUGAAAUCCCCGGGCUCAACCUGGGAACUGCCUUUGUGACUGCAAGGCUUGAGUGCGGCAGAGGGGGGAUGGAAUUCCGCGUGUAGCAGUGAAAUGCGUAGAUAUGCGGAGGAACACCGAUGGCGAAGGCAAUCCCCUGGGCCUGCACUGACGCUCAUGCACGAAAGCGUGGGGAGCAAACAGGAUUAGAUACCCUGGUAGUCCACGCCCUAAACGAUGUCAACUGGUUGUUGGGGAAGGUUCCUUCUCAGUAACGUAGCUAACGCGUGAAGUUGACCGCCUGGGGAGUACGGCCGCAAGGUUGAAACUCAAA
This 559-nucleotide ribosomal RNA is filed under the name uncultured bacterium. Its description in RNAcentral is "partial 16S ribosomal RNA". It matches the Rfam family "Bacterial small subunit ribosomal RNA", at positions 355 to 905 of the family's 1533-position model. The record is from RNAcentral.